UACGGGGGGGGCAAGCGUUGUUCGGAAUUACUGGGCGUAAAGGGCUCGUAGGCGGCCAACUAAGUCAGACGUGAAAUCCCUCGGCUUAACCGGGGAACUGCGUCUGAUACUGGAUGGCUUGAGUUUGGGAGAGGGAUGCGGAAUUCCAGGUGUAGCGGUGGAAUGCGUAGAUAUCUGGAGGAACACCGGUGGCGAAGGCGGCGUCCUGGACCAACACUGACACUGAUGAGCGAAAGCCAGGGGAGCAAACGGG
Molecule: ribosomal RNA, 253 nt
Filed under: uncultured bacterium
Lineage: Bacteria
Description: partial 16S ribosomal RNA
Rfam family: Bacterial small subunit ribosomal RNA
Source: RNAcentral